This is a long non-coding RNA of Arabidopsis thaliana (thale cress), 440 nucleotides long. RefSeq annotates it as other RNA. The record is from RefSeq. The transcript has a single exon. Lineage: Eukaryota; Viridiplantae; Streptophyta; Magnoliopsida; Brassicales; Brassicaceae.
ACAAAUCCAGCUUUGACCAAACACAACUUUGUGUUCUCCGCCGAAAAAGACUUUGAAUCGUAUCUCUCACCCAACUCUCAUGUGUCAACAACAUCUUUGAUUCUUUUUUGAAUCAUCGCCAAUCCCUCCAUUUUUGGGUUUAUCUCCAUUUCGAUCAACUUUUUAAGGUAAGCUUUAAGCUUCAUUUCUCUAAUUUCAAAUUGAGUUAUAGAUGUUUACUCCAAUUGUUUCAUGACAUCAAAUUUUACUUUGGUUUGGUUAUUAUGUUUACAUCAAUUUUCAUUUCUGAUUAUCAUUUGGUAUUCGAUUGAAUCAAUCUUUUGGUACAACAUCUCCGUGAUGCUCUUCACGAUUAGAGAAUCCAAUGCAUUUUAGGAUUUCUCAUUUGUUUCGGUCGUGCCCAAAUCAGAGAAAAACCAAUCUUUAUAUCAUUGCUUCAU